This 96-nucleotide ribosomal RNA is filed under the name Mesocricetus auratus (golden hamster). The record is from RNAcentral. Lineage: Eukaryota; Metazoa; Chordata; Mammalia; Rodentia; Cricetidae.
GUCUAUGGCCCUACCACCCUGAACACACCUAAUGUCCUCUGAUCUCUGAAGCUAAGGAGGGUAAGUUUAGUACCUGGAUGGGUAUAUCUGUAGUGU